This 76-nucleotide transfer RNA is filed under the name Ruminococcus flavefaciens. RNAcentral's name for it is "tRNA_Gln_CTG". It matches the Rfam family "tRNA". From Rfam's summary of the family: Transfer RNA (tRNA) molecules are approximately 80 nucleotides in length. RNAcentral also lists the same sequence under 6 other names. Lineage: Bacteria; Bacillati; Bacillota; Clostridia; Eubacteriales; Oscillospiraceae. The record is from RNAcentral.
UGGGGUGUCGCCAAGUGGUAAGGCAGCGGACUCUGACUCCGUUAUUUCGAGGGUUCAAAUCCUUCCACCCCAACCA